AGACGUAGGGGGCAAGCGUUGUCCGGAAUUACUGGGUGUAAAGGGUGAGUAGGCGGGAGAGCAAGUCAGAUGUGAAAUGCAAAGGCUUAACCUUUGAAUUGCAUUUGAAACUGUUUUUCUUUGAGAGUCGGAGAGGUAAUCGGAAUUCCUAGUGUAGCGGUGAAAUGCGUAGAUAUUAGGAGGAACACCAGUGGCGAAGGCGGAUUACUGGACGACAACUGACGCUGAUACACGAAAGCGUGGGGAGC
RNAcentral lists this ribosomal RNA (248 nucleotides) under uncultured bacterium. RNAcentral describes it as "partial 16S ribosomal RNA". It matches the Rfam family "Bacterial small subunit ribosomal RNA", at positions 523 to 769 of the family's 1533-position model. The record is from RNAcentral.